This 384-nucleotide long non-coding RNA is filed under the name Homo sapiens (human). RNAcentral describes it as "HSALNT0227921". The record is from RNAcentral. Lineage: Eukaryota; Metazoa; Chordata; Mammalia; Primates; Hominidae.
CACGUUUGUUUUUCUGGCGAAAGAGGCGCAAGAUGAAUGCUUCUUGACAAGACUCGAUUAUUCUGUGGGCUCUAUACACCAAGAUGCCUGAGGGGGAGAAACAUAAUUUAAACUACAGAACAGGUGUGAGGGUAAAUCUGGCCCCCGUUCCUCCAUCUUGGCUGGAAGUGGAAGUCCCGGUGGAUAUUUUUGAGCCCCUGAUGUAUGCCAGGCACUGCUGUAAGCACUGAGUAUUCAAAGAUGAACAAAAUGAUGUGGCCCCAGUCUCCUAAAAUUUACUAUCAAGAGAAGAAGACAACAGGAAUGAAUGAGAGUUCCUGCUGCUCAACAUUCUUGCCAGCAUUUGGUAUCGUCAGUGUUCCAGAUUUGGGACCAUUCUAAUAG